GAUGAACGCUGGCGGCGUGCCUAAUACAUGCAAGUCGAGCGAACAGACGAGGAGCUUGCUCCUCUGACGUUAGCGGCGGACGGGUGAGUAACACGUGGAUAACCUACCUAUAAGACUGGGAUAACUUCGGGAAACCGGAGCUAAUACCGGAUAAUAUAUUGAACCGCAUGGUUCAAUAGUGAAAGACGGUUUUGCUGUCACUUAUAGAUGGAUCCGCGCCGCAUUAGCUAGUUGGUAAGGUAACGGCUUACCAAGGCAACGAUGCGUAGCCGACCUGAGAGGGUGAUCGGCCACACUGGAACUGUGACACGGUCCAGACUCCUACGGGAGGCAGCAGUAGGGAAUCUUCCGCAAAGGGCGAAAGCCUGACGGAGCAACGCCGCGUGAGUGAUGAAGGUCUUCGGAUCGUAAAACUCUGUUAUUAGGGAAGAACAAAUGUGUAAGUAACUAUGCACGUCUUGACGGUACCUAAUCAGAAAGCCACGGCUAACUACGUG
This 497-nucleotide ribosomal RNA is filed under the name uncultured bacterium. RNAcentral describes it as "partial 16S ribosomal RNA". It matches the Rfam family "Bacterial small subunit ribosomal RNA", at positions 28 to 507 of the family's 1533-position model. The record is from RNAcentral.